UUAAGCGACUAAGCGUACACGGUGGAUGCCCUGGCAGUCAGAGGCGAUGAAGGACGUGCUAAUCUGCGAUAAGCGUCGGUAAGGUGAUAUGAACCGUUAUAACCGGCGAUUUCCGAAUGGGGAAACCCAGUGUGAUUCGUCACACUAUCAUUAACUGAAUCCAUAGGUUAAUGAGGCGAACCGGGGGAACUGAAACAUCUAAGUACCCCGAGGAAAAGAAAUCAACCGAGAUUCCCCCAGUAGCGGCGAGCGAACGGGGAGCAGCCCAGAGCCUGAAUCAGUGUGUGUGUUAGUGGAAGCGUCUGGAAAGGCGCGCGAUACAGGGUGACAGCCCCGUACACAAAAAUGCACAUAUUGUGAGCUCGAUGAGUAGGGCGGGACACGUGGUAUCCUGUCUGAAUAUGGGGGGACCAUCCUCCAAGGCUAAAUACUCCUGACUGACCGAUAGUGAACCAGUACCGUGAGGGAAAGGCGAAAAGAACCCCGGCGAGGGGAGUGAAAAAGAACCUGAAACCGUGUACGUACAAGCAGUGGGAGCACGCUUCGGCGUGUGACUGCGUACCUUUUGUAUAAUGGGUCAGCGACUUAUAUUCUGUAGCAAGGUUAACCGAAUAGGGGAGCCGAAGGGAAACCGAGUCUUAACUGGGCGUUAAGUUGCAGGGUAUAGACCCGAAACCCGGUGAUCUAGCCAUGGGCAGGUUGAAGGUUGGGUAACACUAACUGGAGGACCGAACCGACUAAUGUUGAAAAAUUAGCGGAUGACUUGUGGCUGGGGGUGAAAGGCCAAUCAAACCGGGAGAUAGCUGGUUCUCCCCGAAAGCUAUUUAGGUAGCGCCUCGUGAAUUC
Molecule: ribosomal RNA, 846 nt
Filed under: Escherichia coli 2-316-03_S1_C2
Lineage: Bacteria; Pseudomonadati; Pseudomonadota; Gammaproteobacteria; Enterobacterales; Enterobacteriaceae
Description: bacterial LSU rRNA
Rfam family: Bacterial large subunit ribosomal RNA
Source: RNAcentral